Folsomia candida is the source of this 5214-nucleotide long non-coding RNA. RefSeq lists it as uncharacterized. The transcript has 7 exons. Lineage: Eukaryota; Metazoa; Arthropoda; Collembola; Entomobryomorpha; Isotomidae. The record is from RefSeq and is a predicted model, not a curated record.
AAUAAUAAUAUCGCAUAAAGCGAGUAUAAUUAUACCUUUUUGUCAGUAUUAUAUCAGCAUCAACUCUAUGUGCAUAUUCCUCCUUUCCUCCUCAACUUGCUUCACACAUUAGUUUACUAACUUUGCUACACUUUGUAUAUAUGUGAAUGAGUGUUGUAAUAAUAAUAAAUUUAAACCUUCGGCCUUCUCUUUGUCCUUGCACCUGAAAAUGCGGACACACUGUUUAUAUCCUAACCUUACCUAAUGUGAUGUUGACUCUUAAUUUUACAUUUGUUUAUUUUUUACUUACUUGCGUUAUUUGAUUGUAAGCAAAAUUGGAUAAAAUCUAGAGAUGCAAUUUGCAACGACUGUUUCUUGUUGUUUUUUUAUCUAAGCUUCUUCCUUCUUCCGGAGGUGUUGAUGGUUUUUUGCAUCUUUUGUUUUGUGCAAUGCAGAAUAUUGACUAUUGAGGAAUGUAGUAAAUUGAAAAUUAUUAAAUUAUGCAAAAUGGAAAAGUGUGCUGUGAUGUUUGAUAUUUUUGUAUCUCAAUUAAAUUCUAGCCCCCAGUCAUAAGUAUAAAUUAAUUGCGGUUUAGUAAUUAUGUUGCAAAACCCUAAAUUGGUUCAAACUUUUUCGACCAGAUAAAAAGUGAUGUUUGAACUUUUAAAAUUUCCAAAAAAUGUGGCAUUACCUUAUCGAAAGAUCCUUGGCGGAAACCUGGUGCAUUUUGCAGUAUAUUAUAUUGUAACCUCAAGUAACUUGCAAUGUUUCGUUCGAACUUUUCAAUCAAAUCAAAUUACAUUACACACCUCUUGACUUUACCUAACUUUGUAGUCUGCUCACCGAAUGUUAAACUCGCAACCACCCAAGACCAAUGUCACCGAUAAUAGGUUGUUAGAGUUGUUGAAAUCGUUGUCGCACCAAAACAUUACGUACAAUGGUUAAAUCUUUAUAAACUUGAAGAUCUCAAUUAACCAAGCAAAUCUUAUUAAACUCAAAAAUUGUGAACACUUAAAACUUGCGAAAAUUGAGCUUUUUUGCCCUGAAAGAAUGAUGAGGAAAUUCCGAUCAAAGUCGUUUUACUUGCAAUUAAACAAAAUAUUCUUUUAAAACUUGUGUUAUUUGGAAAUUGUAGAUCAGAAACAGAGCGAACGAUCCUCUCAAAAUUGUGAUAACCGGAAACGUUGUUCGUGCUGGAUCUCUGCUGAUGCGCGCUUUCCCUCCAAAUUUAAAAAGUUUACUGAUUUGCCGGCUCGUGCCUCGCUCUUUGUGUUUGAUUGUUGAGUAAUUAAUUAAUUAACUAAACUAAACAAUUGUUCACAAUUAACAAUUAACUGGUAAUUUUUCAUUGCAUGUUUGUAAUCGAGGUUCGUACGCCUUCAACUAAGCGAACUAGUCACUAGUUGCGGUUUUUGACACGGAGUACGGAGAGAGGGGUGAACAAGUUAACGAGCAGCGGAAUCACUCACAUGCAAACAACAAUACUUUUUCGAAACUUGCCAAACCUGAAACUUGUGUGAUUCUUUGGAGUUGAAGUAAAAGGCCCAUGUACACGUUAAGGAAAUGGUUACUAUCAGAAAUCUGGUUUUCUUUUGCUAUGUCUCUUAUCAAUUAUUGCACUUGACACAUUUUUAGGCUUCGUUGAUUGCUCGCUUAUCCGCCGGUUCAAGAUAAGAAGUAAUCUUUUGAGGUUUGUGGAACCUUCUUGAUUGACGAAUCGACGAAUAAAACGACGUGGAAGAAUACUCUACGAAAGACUUGAUGAAUGCAAUUUGUCAAGCAUUCCAGAGAACCAACUGUGAUAGAAAUCAAGAAAACAAAAUUAACACCACGACCGACGUAAGAACACAAAACUUUUUAAUGGAUCAAGUAUUUUUGUCCGAAUCCAUCAUUCUCUCUCCUCCAAUUUGGUGCAGAAACAAUUCAAUUAUGUACAAGAACAGCCGAAUAUUAUGCAGCACAUGAUAAUUGGAACGACAGAUUGCAUGGUUUCCUCCAAGAGUAAAAAAAAGUGCGUUUAGUAUUAGUUUACAUUCCGGUAAUGGUCGUCGAUGGUCUCGCACAAGUAUAAAAUGAAUGCGUGGGUUAGUUUAUUUAGGUUUAUUUAAUGUUGUGACUGACUGACUGACUGACUAUGCAAAAGUGUAAUUAUCAUUUUGUUGUGUUACACAUUGCGUAUUAUUAUUGUUAUUACUCACUACAUAUAAUAAGUCUUAUGUAUGUAGGACUACAUUAUCCAAAAGGCAAAGUCGGUAGUGGAAAUAAUCGGAAUAUAGUUGCAGUAGUAGUGGUGGUAGUAGUAGAAGUAGUAAAAGUUAAAACGAGUAUGAAUGAUGAUCUUUACUCAAUACUAUAAUAUUAUAUGCAAUAAGUGAUCAAGUAAUAACACGAGAACAACGAUAGGUAGUAAGUAUGUAAGUAGGAGAUGGAGAUACUCACUCACACUUCUUUCACAGUUUUGUUUUGUUCUGUUUUUCUCUUUUCUGUUUGAUGUUACAUAUAAAGUGUAAGUCAGUAAUGCGGUUGUGUGAUGAUGAUGAUAUGAUAUUACGAAUAGGGAGAAAAACGGUCCGUGUUGUGUGUGCAAUGUAGUGUCUCCUCGUCUUGUGUGGAUUGGAAUUUAUAUGUAAAGUCAAAACCCAGUGUUGUGUAGACUUUGAGGAGUAAUGUGUAAUAAUAUAUAAUAUGUAAUGUAAUGCAAUGCAAUAUAUGAUGAGAAGAACGGUGUCCGUACCAAAUAUGCGAAGAGGAGUUGAUAGGAUUCGAUACGAGACCAGUACCAGUAACCAAAUAAUAAGUAUGUAAGCAAACCAGGGAAGAUGGGAAUAGUAUUAGCCAACAGGGCACACAUACACACACAGAGAGAGAAUAGAAUAAUAGUUGAUAGUACCUUACUUUACUGUUGUAUGUUGUAAUAAUGUAAAAGUAAGUAAAGUAGUAGUAAGUAAGUGGUGAACGCGCUAUGUCCUGGUCGUCCUAAACCGUACUAAAGUCGGAGGUCUCUCCCCACUACUACUUUUUGGUCGGUCGGAUAUGUCUAUCCGCCCAUUGGCUGCUGCCUCGGCUUUAUUAUCGUACUUGGUGUGGAGUCGGGCCUGCUGGAUAAGUAUGGAGAAGACUGCUUUAACGCUGGAGAGAAGGUCGUCCUCGCCGCUCCGAGUCGGUCUGAUAUGCGCUUCAGACUUUGGUACUAAUAAUGGUGCUGGAUGUUGGACCUAGCCCCCUCGUGCGUUCACGUAUAUGAUGUACAACCCAAGUCCUUCAGGCGAAGAAGGAAAGUUCGCUUUAACGAAGUUCCAAAUAUAUCCAACCUGCAAAAGAGAUGAAGCCAAGCCAAACCAGCAGCAUCAUGAUGUGGAGGGCGAGGAUGGAUAGGAUUUUAAGAGGAUGGAUGGAUGGAUGGAUGAAUGCAUGCAUGCAUGCAUGGAGGAUAAUAAAUAUCAGACCCAGACGUGGUGGAUAGUAGUAAAAAGGUUUUAGAUUUCCUCAUUUGUGGAGCACCCUUUCUGGAUUUCAUGGAACUCCAACCUUUCUAUAAGAGUCGACAACAACAUGAAGCGAGACCGUCGGACCAGGCUGUCCGUCAGUGCAUGUUUUUGUAAGAAGCCUUCCCAAAAGAGCGAGAGGGAGUGAGAAGAAGCCCAGCAGGGCAAAGUUUUCAAGAUAUUGGAGCUAAUGCAUAUCCACUUUAUACGAAGAAAGAACCCCAGGCAGUCAAGCAAGAGAGACGAAGAAGGGUAACAAAUGUGAUAUACGGAAUGCUAUGCUUGACAGCUUGGGGUUAUAAUAAAACCGUCCGGAACUGAUGCCCAGCCAGUCUUCUUCCCUCCCUCGCUAUUCCUCCUAUUACAGAGAAUUCCACUCUAAAAGCAUGACUUGCCUUCCAUCCUUAUGAUGAUGACGAGUAGGCGUUUGAAAUAUUAUUUCUCGUCGUCUCCUCUUCUCUCGUUAGUGGCAUGGACCCGGUUUAAUACUUGGCUUCGUACCAGACAUGGUUCAAAUUCAAAUGGUAUAAACCUAGCAGGUAGUCGUCAACGCUUAAGUACGGGCUCCACUUGUACAAGUCUCACGUUUAUUUGCAUUCACUUAAUACUUCUCUUUUUGGAUGGAUUCCACUUGAUACGAGUUCUUGGAGACCUAUGGACCAGUAGCAAAAGUAGUAUAUACAGACCCAAAAAGGUCCUCCCUCCUGUUUUCAUUGAUCCGAAAUUCGGAAACGGAGAAAGCCGACGAUGUCGGGACUCAUGAAAACAAGGUCCCGCCAUAUCGCAUCGCCUUGCCAAAAAAAACUUUUAUGUGGCAUUCGUCGAGUGUUCCUGGAAGAAGGAAUGCUGCUGCAUCAUCAUCAUCAUCACGCUUUAUUUACACUUGGGAGAAAUACGAACCCGGAUAGAUUGAAAGAAUGCAAAUGCCAUUAAAAAAGUCGGCUGGAGCCCUAGGACAGACGAAGCGAGGGACGCUUUGUAAAUCAGGAUUAUUUUUUAUGCGGGUUUGAGGAAAUGAGAAAAUGAAAUGAGGAGGUGAAAGCAGAAUUUCUGAAUAUCUGAUUUCAUAUAUAUAUAAAAAGGUACAAUUUCCAAAUCUAAAAUCAGACUGGAGUAUAAUCAAUCAACUUUCUCACACUCGUCAAAUCCAUUCACUGAAACUUCACUCACUGCUCAAUUCCUCAUUUUCUGCCAAAUACAUACUUUCAUCCACUUGAGAAAAAGUAGUUUCACCAGCUCUCUGAUUUCACUAUUUUUCCCAGUUUUGAUCUAUUAGAUGAUGACUGCCUAUGUAAGUAUGAGUGGUAGGGAGGAAAAAUAGUAUCAGAUUUCUGUUGACUCAGCUUUUUCAUGGCAUGAAAUUGUCCCCGAGUUGGCAAGGACUUCAAAAAUCACGAGUUAUUGCUUUGCAUGCACUCGUCGUAUGUAAAGUUUGUUGAGUAUGUGACGUGUGAUGGCCGGCUUAAAAAUCAUCAUAAUUCUCUAAAAGAUUAUGUGUUUGUCAUUAUCAGCAUCUUAUUUAAUCUUGUUGUGUUGUGUCCGUUGGACUUAAGAAAUUUCCAACCUUCCACUUCCCAGGCAUUCUGUUGGAUUUUACUUCCUCCUUGAGAUACCUAAUGACAUGUGUACACACCCUUUUCAUUUGUUUUAACAAAACCCAAACCUGCCAUCCUGUUAAUCUGAUAAAGCCACCAAUAUAUGCACAGCACAUAGCAAAUAAACGACACCAGUUACAUUCAGUCACAAAACA